UAGGGAAUUUUGGGCAAUGGGCGAAAGCCUGACCCAGCAACGCCGCGUGUGGGAUGAAGGCCCUCGGGUCGUAAACCACUGUCAGGAGGAAAGAAAAGUCGGCCGGAUAAUACUCGGUCGACCUGACGGUACCUCCAAAGGAAGCACCGGCUAACUCCGUGCCAGCAGCCGCGGUAAUACGGAGGGUGCAAGCGUUGUUCGGAAUUACUGGGCGUAAAGCGCGUGUAGGUGGUCGAGUAAGUCGAAUGUGAAAGCCCCGGGCUCAACCCGGGAAGUGCAUCCGAAACUGCUCGACUAGAGUCCCGGAGAGGAAGGCAGAAUUCCCAAUGUAGGGGUGAAAUCCGUAGAUAUUGGGAGGAAUACCGGUGGCGAAGGCGGCCUUCUGGACGGUGACUGACACUCAGACGCGAAAGCGUGGGGAGCAAACAGGAUUAGAUACCCCCGUAGUCCCUGAGCGGGCUGGCAAGGCGCAU
RNAcentral lists this ribosomal RNA (473 nucleotides) under uncultured bacterium. Its description in RNAcentral is "bacterial SSU rRNA". It matches the Rfam family "Bacterial small subunit ribosomal RNA", at positions 355 to 825 of the family's 1533-position model. The record is from RNAcentral.